AAUGCGAAUGCUCAUCACAGGGCGGACUGGUGUUCAUCGAAGUCGAUGGGGCUUUCUUUGGAAGCGAUGCUUGGCGUAUAUAUGGGAGCUCAAAUUGCGGCAAGCUUCUGGUCAUAAACAGGAGACCAUCCGUAGUGAGAACGGUGUUGGCGUUAGCAGCAGAGAGGGUUUUGGUGCGAUGGUCUGCAGCUCGCGAGAAAGCCCGGCUCGUUUGUUGCCUCACGAGUCGAUGAAACUCUCCUUGGCUUCUGCUGUGUCUCCUUCUUCUUCUUCUUCUUCAGGUACUCUACCGUCCUGUUAAUCUACGACGUCGCGAAUCACCACUGAAAAGCGACCAAGGCGCACGCUGCUGCGCACGGCCGUGGACGGCUCCUAGUGUGGGCUGGGUCUCGUCGACUCCAUCCAGUCGAGGGCGACUUGUCUGCUCGCCAAGGUCAUGUGGACGCUCACGGAUCCGUCGAUGCGUCGUUCGCCUCCGAGACAACGUUGUGUGACGAAUCCACGACUUUACUCUCUUCUAUGCACAGGGGUCGAGAGCUGCUGUGCUGCUGCGCCCUGGUCGUGCGCGGGAGCGAACGGAAACGCACGCUGCACUCUGUGGGCGUGCUCGUGACCCAUGAGGUCACGAAAAGCAUCACAGAGGAUAGCGUGCAUACAAGUACAGUAUGGGAGAGCUUGGCGCUCGUCGUCCACCCAGUGCAUCUGGAUCCCGAAGAAGAGACGGAUACGGAGUGAAGCGUCGCUGUCCGUGCUGCUCCGCCAGGUACCGGAGUAUUCGAAGAAGGAUCCGGUGUCUCCGCGCAAGUAUGACGGACUCGAACAGGUCCACGAAAAGCGUCGGCGGCGCUUCUUCAGAUGUUUCUAGUCUCCAUGGAAGGCAUGGCGUGCAGCGCGUAGCGAGGCUUUGGAUACCGACGGAUCUCCAGUACGCAUGGGCGUCGUGAAAGCGUGACCUGGGUCACCAACGAGGCUCAUUUUCAACUGUUCAAGGCAGACGAGGAGAAAGUCGCUGUUGGGAGCGUGGAUCCGAGGUUGAAGAGCGCCCUUGUCGUCCCCGUGUAUGCAAAUGAGGCGGACGGCGCCGCCCAAGACCUGAAUGGCAAGCAGACGGAGCUGCCCAGCGCGUCCAGCACUUGGUAUGAUCGGGAGCCGCGCAUCACCCUGGAUGGCAUACGGCGAAGUACGAGUCGUAAUGACUUCGUCAGGACCUGAAAGUGAACGUGCUGAGCAGUGUGUCGAGCAGCGUGGGAUGGGUUUCCACCUUUAACUCAGAGCGCGCACGAGCGUCUGACCUGCGCAUGCGCACAGCCUUUGGCAGGAUUCCGUGAGACGGCGCUGGGGGGCCACCAACGGACUCGGUUGGACGGAGGCGAGGGGCGCGCACUCGCAAAGCUCCUGGACCAGUUGGAAAAGGGAGUACCCAACAGGUCGCGUCGAUUGCUGGAAGCCUGUGGCGCUGGAUGUGCUGUGGCACGCAAACGCUGGACUCCUGUGCGUACAGCGAGUGCAGGAAUCGAUGUUGCACGUUUCCUGUGGAGGACUAGAUGGCGACGCAGACGGAGCUCGAGUGCGGAUGCUCGUGCUGCGUCUACGUUGAGCGCCACUUGGGAAACAGGGCCGAAUGUCCGACAUGGGAUACUGCGAGCGGACCUCGGACGUCAAAUUGCGAGGCAAUAGAAGCUGGCAGGCUUACUUUGGAAUGUCCGACAUGGGAUACUGCGAGCGGACCUCGGACGUCGUAUUGCGUAGCAAUUGAAGCUGGCAGGCUCACUUUGGAAUGUCCGACAUGGGAUACUGCGAGCGGACCUCGGACGUCAUAUUGCGAGGCAAAUGAAGCUGGCAGGCUCACUUUGGAAUGUCCGUCAUGGGAUACUGCGAGCGGACCUCGGACGUCAUAUUGCGAGGCAAAUGAAGCUGGCAGGCUCACUUUGGAAUGUCCGUCAUGGGAUACUGCGAGCGGACCUCGGACGUCAUAUUGCGAGGCAAAUGAAGCUGGCAGGCUCACUUUGGAAUGUCCGUCAUGGGAUACUGCGAGCGGACCUCGGACGUCAUAUUGCGAGGCAAAUGAAGCUGGCAGGCUCACUUUGGAAUGUCCGUCAUGGGAUACUGCGAGCGGACCUCGGACGUCAUAUUGCGAGGCAAAUGAAGCUGGCAGGCUCACUUUGGUGUGAUUCCAUCGCAAUUCAUGUGUGCGGGCGCAGGCUCCGCUCCGAGCCAUGAACGUCUCGAUCAACACCCGGAAAAGUCUCGUGCCUGGGGGGCGUCUAUCGGCUAUAUGUAUCGAGCGAAGUUUAAAGCGAAUCGAUUCGUGCUCCGUGUGGGCACUGUGUUUAAAUGCCGAAGACUUGCGACGAAAAAGUAUGAUUGAGCAAGAGAGCGUGCGUUGAACGCUCGCCUGGAGCAAGGCACCGGUAUGGCACGAGUCGGCGAUUCAGCAAUGCUACCAUCCCGCCUAUGCGUAUGCCGGGCAUGAUUUUCCUGGGCCAUUGGUGAACGAUGAUGAUGAUGAUGAUGAUGAUGAUGAUGAUGGUGGUGGUGGUGGUGGUGGUGGUGGUGGUGAUCCAUGAUUCGACAUACCUGACCGUACAUUGACAUGCAGAAGCAACGGAGAUUCUUUUCAAUGUAAGUGCCCACGCACGACGCUUGACGAUAUGCAUACGUGUCGAGCGUCUCCGAGGCUGCAUACCUCUACACCCGUAUCAGAAAUGAAUGGAACACGAAAGUACACGCAUUGUUCCCGUAUAUCUAUUUUUUUCGCAGUUUUGUGCAGCCAUGUGGUUCAAUCUGGAGAAAUAACGCCGUUUGGAUUCAUAUAUCGUUUCUGGAUUCUUGGUUGUGCUUCCGAGUAAAGCUUCGGAAUCUUGGCAUCCAGAAUUCAUCAUGUCAUCGUUAUCGAGGUGAUUCGCGACGCAAUGGAACCAUGGUUCGUAAAGUAACCAA
RNAcentral lists this unclassified non-coding RNA (2940 nucleotides) under Cyanidioschyzon merolae strain 10D. Its description in RNAcentral is "hypothetical transcript". The record is from RNAcentral. Lineage: Eukaryota; Rhodophyta; Bangiophyceae; Cyanidiales; Cyanidiaceae.